UUACAAACCGACGCAGCUUUAUUUCUGAAAUGAUUCCAAACUGAAAAUAGAAAAACAGAUCCGUUAUCUCGUGUAGACUGAAAAUGUUCACUGGGAAGUUUGAGCUUCAGCAGGCGAAGCUUCCUGCAAAUAGCUCCAAAUCUGUGAAAAUGUACAUUCAGUACAUCAGUGUUUCAGAAGCAGCUGGAUCUUACUGGUGGACACGUGUUUCAGUCACGGCUCAGUUUAGUCGGGUUGGUUGGUCACGCCCACAGAAAUGAUGCCUGAUGGACAGCGGCUGAACUUAAAAUCACAUCGUGUGCAUUAUUAAAUAACUGAGUCAGGGAUCACUUCCUCUGUGCUAUGAUACCGCGUCUCAUUAUUGAUGCUCUUGCAGCAUUUGGAUCCACAAUCUGGGCUGAAGAUGAGAUAUCACCUAACAUUAGACCUGCAGCGGCGUGGGGCUGCGCCGCUUCUCUGCAUGAGUCCGGUCUGAGACAGCAGCCUGCUCUCCUCACGCUCUUUGCUCGGCUGUAUUUGGCUGCGUUGGCCGACGAAGCUUAGCUGUGUCAUUUCAAUCCAGUCAUCCAGGAGGAUUAGUGGAGCUCAGCAGGGGGAGAACAGAGCAGGAAGCUGCUCCAACGCGAGCAACUUCCUGUCGUUUCUCAGCGCCGAGAACGCGCGGGGCAGACGGCAGGCGCUGGAGGACGCUGGCUGCUGGAGCCUCUCCAGACGCUGCUUUGGCAAAGCUACUGCGAGCGCAGAUGGCUCGGUCGUCAACGAGCACACGCAGCACGACAACACAAACACGUAAAAGCCCCUGACAGCAGAUGACACACGAGCACACGCACGCAGCAGCGCACAGCCCCCACACACUGAAACGUGUGAAUGAACACUGCCGCACACACAGCGUCCACAUCAAAUUGGGCAUGAGACUAAAUGCUACAUCAAAUCUACUUUAAUUCCUGAUCCCUUCAACCCUGGAGUGGCCUGCUUUACGGGACCAAAAUAAAAACAGCAACUGUGUUCACAGAUUAGUUUUGGGUGCUUGUGUUUGUGGUCACGAGAGAGGCUCUCUGACCGAGGCAGAAGCACCACGGGCCGACAACGCUUCCGUCUUUCACUCCCUACCUGCGCUCGCCAGCGCUGCAAAUGAAAGCACAAACCAGUGAAAGCCCACUCUGGCAUGGGUUAUGAAUUUUGAGCUUACAGUCCAAAACUGAGAAAGAGAUGCUAUGCUCGUGAGCAGCAGCAAUGAGGCCUGUUCUCAGUAAUGACGGUUUGGAUACAGCUCCUGAAAGAUGCUGCUGUCAGCACUCAAAGCUGUGAAAGAGGUCGGUUAUCAUCACAGGUCAGAACACUAAGAGAGAGAAAUAACACGUCAAACCAGCCGUCAGACUGGAUGCUGUGAAGAUUUUCUGUGUCUGCCCAAAGGCCCAAACCUCUGCAUGCAACAGCUCAGGUUGAUCCU
Oreochromis niloticus (Nile tilapia) is the source of this 1450-nucleotide long non-coding RNA. RefSeq lists it as uncharacterized. Lineage: Eukaryota; Metazoa; Chordata; Actinopteri; Cichliformes; Cichlidae. The transcript is spliced from 2 exons. The record is from RefSeq and is a predicted model, not a curated record.